Microtus ochrogaster (prairie vole) is the source of this 160-nucleotide small nuclear RNA. Its record names the gene U1. It matches the Rfam family "U1 spliceosomal RNA". Rfam says of the family: U1 is a small nuclear RNA (snRNA) component of the spliceosome (involved in pre-mRNA splicing). Lineage: Eukaryota; Metazoa; Chordata; Mammalia; Rodentia; Cricetidae. The record is from Ensembl.
AUACUUAUCUGGGAGAGGAGAUACCAUGAUCACUAAGGUGGUCUACCCAGAUGAGGCUUAUCCAUUGCACUCAGGAUGUGCUGACUCUGCGAUUUCCCCAAAUGUGGGAAAACUCAACUGUAUAAUUUGUGGUAAUGGGAGCACUGAGUUCAUGCUCUCC